Molecule: small RNA, 134 nt
Filed under: Mytilus galloprovincialis (Mediterranean mussel)
Lineage: Eukaryota; Metazoa; Mollusca; Bivalvia; Mytilida; Mytilidae
Source: RNAcentral
GAAAUAAUUCAUGGAAGCCAUAGAUUAUUGGAAAUUUACACAUGGCCUGGGCCAACGCUCAGGAUAAAAUUCGAAUGUCAUGGCCCAGGCCAUGUGUAAAUUUCCAAUAAUCUAUGGCUUCUAUGAAUUAUUUC